Molecule: ribosomal RNA, 467 nt
Filed under: uncultured bacterium
Lineage: Bacteria
Description: partial 16S ribosomal RNA
Rfam family: Bacterial small subunit ribosomal RNA
Source: RNAcentral
GACGAACGCUGGCGGCGUGCUUAACACAUGCAAGUCGAACGGAAAGGCCUCUUUCGGGGGGUACUCGAGUGGCGAACGGGUGAGUAACACGUGAGUAACCUGCCCUUGACUUUGGGAUAACUUCAGGAAACUGGGGCUAAUACCGGAUAGGAGAUCCUGCUGCAGGGUGGGGGUUGGAAAGUUUCGGCGGUUGGGGGUGGACUCGCGGCUUAUCAGCUUGUUGGUGGGGUAGUGGCUUACCAAGGCUUUGACGGGUAGCCGGCCUGAGAGGGUGACCGGCCACAUUGGGACUGAGAUACGGCCCAGACUCCUACGGGAGGCAGCAGUGGGGAAUAUUGCACAAGGGGUGGAAGCCUGAUGCAGCAACGCCGUGGGCGGGAUGACGGUCUUCGGGUUGUAAACCGCUUUCGCUCAUGACGAAGCUUUGUGUGACGGUAGUGGGUAAAGAAGCACCGGCUAACUACGUG